GAUGGACGCUGGCGGCGUGCCUAAUACAUGCAAGUCGAGCGAACAGAUAAGGAGCUUGCUCCUUUGACGUUAGCGGCGGACGGGUGAGUAACACGUGGGUAACCUACCUAUAAGACUGGAAUAACUCCGGGAAACCGGGGCUAAUGCCGGAUAACAUUUAGAACCGCAUGGUUCUAAAGUGAAAGAUGGUUUUGCUAUCACUUAUAGAUGGACCCGCGCCGCAUUAGCUAGUUGGUAAGGUAACGGCUUACCAAGGCAACGAUACGUAGCCGACCUGAGAGGGUGAUCGGCCACACUGGAACUGAGACACGGUCCAGACUCCUACGGGAGGCAGCAGUAGGGAAUCUUCCGCAAUGGGCGAAAGCCUGACGGAGCAACGCCGCGUGAGUGAUGAAGGUCUUCGGAUCGUAAAACUCUGUUAUUAGGGAAGAACAAAUGUGUAAGUAACUGUGCACGUCUUGACGGUACCUAAUCAGAAAGCCACGGCUAACUACGUG
Molecule: ribosomal RNA, 497 nt
Filed under: uncultured bacterium
Lineage: Bacteria
Description: partial 16S ribosomal RNA
Rfam family: Bacterial small subunit ribosomal RNA
Source: RNAcentral